GAUGAACGCUAGCUACAGGCUUAACACAUGCAAGUCGAGGGGAAACGACAUCGAAAGCUUGCUUUUGAUGGGCGUCGACCGGCGCGCGGGUGAGUAACGCGUAUCCAACCUGCCCACCACUUGGGGAUAACCUUGCGAAAGUAAGACUAAUACCCAAUGAUAUCUCUAGAAGACAUCUGAAAGAGAUUAAAGAUUUAUCGGUGAUGGAUGGGGAUGCGUCUGAUUAGCUUGUUGGCGGGGUAACGGCCCACCAAGGCUACGAUCAGUAGGGGUUCUGGGAGGAAGGUCCCCCACAACGGAACUGAGACAAGGUCCAAACUCCUACGGGAGGCAGCAGUGAGGAAUAUUGGUCAAUGGGCGAGAGCCUGAACCAGCCAAGUAGCGUGCAGGAUGACGGCCCUAUGGGUUGUAAACUGCUUUUAUAAGGGAAUAAAGUGAGCCUCGUGAGGCUUUUUGCAUGUACCUUAUGAAUAAGGACCGGCUAAUUCCGUGCCAGCAGCCGCCGUAA
Molecule: ribosomal RNA, 508 nt
Filed under: uncultured bacterium
Lineage: Bacteria
Description: partial 16S ribosomal RNA
Rfam family: Bacterial small subunit ribosomal RNA
Source: RNAcentral